This 109-nucleotide ribosomal RNA is filed under the name Dasypus novemcinctus (nine-banded armadillo). Lineage: Eukaryota; Metazoa; Chordata; Mammalia; Cingulata; Dasypodidae. The record is from RNAcentral.
GCCUAUGGCCAUACCACCCUGAACAUGCCUGAUCUCAUCAGCUAAGCAGGGUCUGGCCUGGUUAGUACUUGGAUGGGAGACCACUUGGGAAUACUGGGUGCUGUAGGCU